UUAGCGGGGAAGGGGUCGGGGGAGUUCUCUCUGCUACUUCCCACUGGGUAGGGUUGUAGGAUUCUUUUGGGGGCAACACCAACAUCAGUUGUCCAGAAAUCCAGAAGUCCUGAUAACCAGCAAAUCAGCAAGCAGCAAUGUAGCAGCAGGGCCAGCCAGCAGCAUGCAGUCCUCCUCCAAGCAGCCGCCCGCCUUUUCUUCCUCCGGGCUGUCAUGUUUCUACCCCUCAAAGUCCUCAGAAUUCAACUAACACCACUCGGCAAAUACCACGCUCCGCACGAGACACCUAACAGCAACGUGAUGACAUUAAGAAGCACUUCCUGUUUAUCUGGACCCACACAAGAGCACCUCUAAUUUCAGCACUGGGGAGACAGAGAAAGGAGGCUUCCUGGGGCUGGCUGGCCAACGCACCCGCUGAAUAGCCCGAAGUACUGCAGCGUCUGCAGGACAUGGAGGGCAGCCAGGCGAGCACGGCAGGAAGGCGGACUUCCGGAGUCCUGCUCUCACCCUUUGAACAAUGUCGUUCUGGCUGGCCCACACCUGGCCCACACGUGCCUGAGCAUUCUAGCACAUGCGAGGCUGAAGCCAGCGCACAUGAAGCCUUUCAAAUGCUGUUCCUGGAUGAGAGAAUCGUCUGUUUUUUCCUUUCUGUACAGAACUGUUGGGCCCAAUUCUUCACCGUUGGAGAGGAGGAAUAAAGCCAGGACUGAUAGCAUGCAUUUUAUUUAUGCACAUUUUCGUGCAUUUGCCCUUGCUGCUUGGUUCUGCUCUGUGACGGUGGUGUCACUGCUGUCCUACACCAUAAUUUGCUGGCGCACUUUGCUGCUCCUUCAUCGUACAAGAAACUGUAAGGGUCAGUGAUCUCCGGCACCACCACUUCCAUUUCCUCAUUACAAAAAUUGACCUUCUUUCUGUUGUUUGAAAGGGCUCAGGCCACUGUCAUUCAGAUUUCAGGACUGUUGAACAGUAAUAACAGUAUAGGCGGACCAAGCAAGCACGCCGUAGCCUGGCAUUGUGCUUCCUCCUGGAAUCCAUUUUGGAUUUCUUAGUCCAGACAGCAGGCGCUGUUAUAGCCCAGGCCCAGCAUUAUACUGUAUAGUAAUUUCCUCCUUGUCAUUAAAUCAUUUAGCUGCAUUAAAGCAUUGUGUGCUGCUCUGUGAAUAUUUGCCAAGGUCCUUGUGCUUUCUAGGCAAUUUUAUGUUCAUAAGGCACAUCAUUCAACUCAGUAUGUGCAGCUAACGCUACACACACACACACACACACACACAAAUAGAGCAGGUAGGUAGGAGUGCCUGUUAGACCGCUGGUUGCCUCCUCAUUGUCUGUGACUGAGCAUGAGCCGCAGAACCAGUUCAGAUGUGAAGAAGUAAAAGCACUCUCGGAAUAAAACUCUGAAUGCUGCGGCUUUCCCGGGAGAGGGGUGGGUGAAUCUGUCUUCUCACUUCACAGGAACUAGAUUCGGCACCAGGGUUAGGAUUUACAUAAAAAUGAUGCCAUGCACACAAUUACAGGAAAGAUAUUUAUUGGAUGGAGGUGGAGAGAGAGAGGGAGGAGAGAGAGACAUGGUACCGGCCCCCAGGAAAGAACGCUAGGCAGAGAGAACAAGAGAGGAGAAAGUGAAGUAAGAGGCGGGGGCCCUUUUAUCCAGGCCAAUGAUGACAUCGCAGGUGGCCAAGCUAUCUAGGAGUGGGUAGUGCUGUGAUUGUGAACUAAUGACACAGUUAACAGACUCUGUGCGUCUGGCUGUUCCUGGGGAAAAAUUAUUAGUUGGAAGGAGAAUAUUUGAAUAUAAAAUAUCACUAUUAUACAUUAAAAAUAGCUUCCACAUCUGAGGCAAAUUUUUCUCUCUGUACUACCAAUACAUUUUAUAAUAAAAUUUAGAAUUAUAACCUAAGAUGUAUCUAUUCUCCUUGAUUAAAAGAACAUAAUUCAUUAACUCUUUAUUUUAAAAGAAGUAAUAUUUUUUAUCCCACCAGAUAAAUGCCAGAAGUAUGUGAUUAAUGGUGUCCUUUGUAAAAUAUAUGUGUUUCUUAAGUGUCAAAAUCAGGGCUCACAAGCUCCUGUGAGCUUGGCUUUCAUUUCUUUAAGAGCUAUUUGUUGCUGUUACUACCAUAGUAGGAACAGAGGGGCAGGAAACAGGCUUUCUGGUUUAAAGAAUUUGUAAAUGAUGUUGUAUCUUACCAUAUUUUCCUUAAAGUCUCAUUUUUUAUAAUUUAUUUUGUGAUAAUAUGUAAUUACGGGAUUCAAUUUAGAAUAAUUGUCUCUGUCAUAGAAAACUGUAUGUUCCAAAAGCU
Molecule: long non-coding RNA, 2294 nt
Organism: Meriones unguiculatus (Mongolian gerbil)
Lineage: Eukaryota; Metazoa; Chordata; Mammalia; Rodentia; Muridae
Exons: 4
Source: RefSeq, a predicted model, not a curated record